Molecule: unclassified non-coding RNA, 406 nt
Filed under: soil metagenome
Description: partial contains 5.8S ribosomal RNA, internal transcribed spacer 2, and large subunit ribosomal RNA
Rfam family: 5.8S ribosomal RNA (bases 1-121)
Source: RNAcentral
GAUGAAGAACGUAGCGAAAUGCGAUAAGUAAUGUGAAUUGCAGAAUUCAGUGAAUCAUCGAAUCUUUGAACGCACCUUGCGCCCUUUGGCCAUUCCGAAGGGCAUGCCUGUUUGAGUAUCAUGAACACCUCAACUCUUCAUGGUUUUCCAUGAUGAGCUUGGACUUUGGGGGUCUUGCUGGCCUGUGGGUCGGCUCCUCUCAAAUGAAUCAGCUUGCCGGUUUUUGGUGGGCAUCACAGGUGUGAUAACUAUCUACGCUUGUGGUUUUCCACCAGGGUAACCUUCAGCAGUGGAAGUUCACUGGAGCUUACAAAUGUCUCUCCUCUGUGAGGACAGCCCUUUGAAUGUUUGAUCUCAAAUCAGGUAGGACUACCCGCUGAACUUAAGCAUAUCAAUAAGCGGAGGA